Molecule: non-coding RNA, 1533 nt
Organism: Cherax quadricarinatus
Lineage: Eukaryota; Metazoa; Arthropoda; Malacostraca; Decapoda; Parastacidae
Source: RefSeq, a predicted model, not a curated record
UUCAAGAAAAACUUCAAUGUGUCGGAUUCUGAGGGCGUUAUUUCGUCAUCAGUAAGUAUAAACUACCAACUGCCGUCUUGCUAGAAGUGUGAUCACAAUUUGGAUGAUGCUCAGAGCAGGAACAUCUCCACUUCUCCUUCAGUGAAGAAAAAAAUGGAAGACACUUGGAAGUAUUGUGGUGUGUGUGUAAUAAGUUUGACAACUGAGAUCACCAACCGUUGCUCAUCCUGCCUGUGGUCACACAUUCUGCAGACCAUGUCUUAUAGCCAUCCUUAAAGGGAGAAAAGACCUCGAAUGCCCAUCCUGCAGUGCUUCAUCGUGAAGAGGCAGUUACUACAAGCAGCAGAUCAUCUAAAGACACCCUGGUCGUGCAUAGAGAAAGAAAUGGAAGCCACAUGGAAGUAUUGUGAUGUGUGUAAUAAUAAGUUCGACAACCGGGAUCAUCAACCAGUUGCUCUUACUGCCUGUGGCCACACAUUCUGCAGAACUUGUCUUAUAACCAUCCUUAAAGUGAGGAAAGUCCUCAGAAUGCCCAUCCUGCAGGAGACGUCACACAGGACCUCCGCCCGAUGUUCUUCCCAUAAACAGGGCUCUUUAGACCUCGUAGAACAAAAUGCACAGGAUUCUGAAGAGCUAGUUGACGUAGUAACCAGCAACAGACAGAAGACACCUCCAUCAGCUCCGACACCACCAUCAGCUCCGACACCUCCAUCAGAUCCUCCUAAUAAAAAAGAAGGUAAUACGUUUUGGAAGGUCGUGGGUUAUGGCGCGGCCGCUACUGUUGGUGCUGUAGGAAUGGUUGUUGCAGCUCCGGUUGUUUUGACAGCUGCGGGAUUUACCUCAGCGGGCAUCGCCGCUGGAUCCUUGGCUGCAAGUAUGAUGUCUUCUGCUGCUAUAGCUAAUGGAGGAGCAGUUGCUGCUGGCAGUUUGGUAGCAGUGUUGCAGUCUGCUGGUGCUGCCGGGAUUGGAGCUGCGGCAACAGCUACUCUAGCUGGCACUGGUGCUGCCGUCGGUGCUGGUGUUGCAAAGAUCGUCGAAGUCGCAACAGAUAAGACAGACAGUGAUGAUGGAAAAGAUGACAAAUAGAAUUAAGAAGAUGAAGGUCUUCAAAUACGUGUGUUUGUACAUAUAUAUAUAUAUAUAUGUCGUGCCGAAUAUGUAAAACUGGUCAAUUAGCAAGAACUCAUUUAAAAUUAAGUCCUUUUUGAAAUUUUCUUUUAUAAGUUUAAAGAUAUAUUUUUUUUAUUAAUGUUAAUGUAAAAAAAUUUAAUUUUACACCAAAGAAAUCUUAGAAAACUUACCUAAUCUUAUUAUAACAAGAACAAUUUAUUUUAGCCUAACCCAACUAAAUGUAUUUUAGAUUUGUUUACAAUAAUUUAAUACUAAACAAACACAGUGAAAUAUAUUUUUUUUCGUUAAGUUCAGAAUGAUUUUGGCGAAAUUAUUGCAUACACAAAUUUUCACUUGUCCUAUAUGGCAAGAUGAGCGUUGCUAUUUAAGCCAAGAUCGCAAGUUCUGCCUAUUCGGCACGAC